This 904-nucleotide long non-coding RNA is filed under the name Mus spicilegus (steppe mouse). RNAcentral describes it as "lncRNA (ENSMSIG00000026182.1)". Lineage: Eukaryota; Metazoa; Chordata; Mammalia; Rodentia; Muridae. The record is from RNAcentral.
AUGAAUGAAAGGCUAUUCAUUUUUCUAGAAUAUUUGUCAGUCCAGGAAAAUCACCAGGGUACCCUCUGUCCCAAUCAGAAGUCCCACUUCUCCGGCCAAGGGGCUAAGAUCCCUGGGUCCCUGAAGAGGAAAUAUACCAUGUAUGCACCGCAAAACCAUGCAGGAGGGACGAAGGAGCCAGCCUCUGGGGAGUCCCUUGUUAACACCUGUGUCCUUCUGAGGCAGAAGUCUAGGGGUGGAACAUCUCUCAACAUCACACCAGAGAAUUUCAACAGAAAAUAGAAUUACAAGCUGGUGUCAUAAAAACCUGGGACUUUUCCCUUCUCAACCAAGAGGCAACUGAAAGCGGAGCAGGAAAGUGUCAGAUUCUGCAAGCGCAGGCUGCGGUCUCUCCUGUUCUUCCCAAUUCCCUGCAUCUUUGCUGAUGGAGUCCUGUUCUAGGCUGCCAGGCCAGACUCUAAGGAUCAGAGCAACACUCAAAGGCCUGCACUGCCCAGAAAUGAGGAGGAAAAGAGCUCAGCCCCGCCCAUACUGUGUGCCAGUGGGGAUGGGCAGCUCAACUUGUGUCCAGGAAAUCUCGUCUGUCUCUUAUCGGGCGCGUGGUCUUUGAUAAAGCAUUUCGGGACAGGCAUAGUGGUGACUUCCUGUAAUUCCAGCAUUUGGAGAGCAGAAGCAGAAGUAUCACUGCACGUUCAAGGCCAACCUGGUCUACACAGCAAGUGCUGGGGCUAACCAGUUCUAUAAAAGACCCUCUUUUAAAACAAACAAACAAACAAACAAAUCAAGGAGCUGGAGAGAUGGCUCAUGACUGCUCUUCCAGAGGUCCUGAAUUGAGUCCCUAGCAACCACAUGGUGGCUCACAGCUAUAAUGGGAUCCAGUACCGUCUUCUGCUGUGACUGAAGA